UGUGGGAGCGGGCUUGCUCGCGAAGGCGUCGUGUCAGGCAGCAUUAAUAUCGACUGACACUCCGCCUUCGCGAGCAAGCCCGCUCCCACA
This 90-nucleotide unclassified non-coding RNA is filed under the name Pseudomonas migulae. The record is from RNAcentral. Lineage: Bacteria; Pseudomonadati; Pseudomonadota; Gammaproteobacteria; Pseudomonadales; Pseudomonadaceae.